RNAcentral lists this ribosomal RNA (439 nucleotides) under uncultured bacterium. RNAcentral describes it as "bacterial SSU rRNA". It matches the Rfam family "Bacterial small subunit ribosomal RNA", at positions 958 to 1397 of the family's 1533-position model. The record is from RNAcentral.
AACGCGAAGAACCUUACCUGGGCUCGAAGUGCUCGGGACCAGCGGUGGAAACAUCGCCUUCCCGCAAGGGACUCGAGUAGAGGUGCUGCAUGGCUGUCGUCAGCUCGUGCCGUGAGGUGUUGGGUUAAGUCCCGCAACGAGCGCAACCCUUACUCUUAGUUGCCACCCGCAAGGGGGAACUCUAAGAGGACUGCUCCGGAUAACGGAGAGGAAGGUGGGGAUGACGUCAAGUCAGCACGGCCUUUAUGUCCAGGGCUACACACGUGUUACAAUGCACGGUACAAACCGUCGCGAACCCGCGAGGGGGAGCUAAUCGGAGAAAACCGUGCUCAGUUCGGAUUGCAGUCUGCAACUCGACUGCAUGAAGCCGGAAUCGCUAGUAAUGGCGUAUCAGAACGACGCCGUGAAUACGUUCCCGGGCCUUGUACACACCGGCUAC